CCUUCUUCCCUCCACAUACAGGAACUGCAGACACUGCAGAUAAAACAGAGCCAGAAUGCUUUGCUGCCAGCUGGACCUUUGACCCAAACCCCAGUGUGACUGUCUCCGGUGCUCACUCAACUGCAAUGCAUCAAUGAAGGAAAAAAGAACUGAGCAUCGGCAAAAAGCUGAGGAUGACAAGCUUAGGGGAUGAAAGGCUGCCUUUUCCCCCCCUUCUGAGCGUUUCUGACAGCUCCCAGCUGGGAGAAACCAACAUGAUGAAAAGACAAAGAAUACUGGAGAAGAGAGAGGGUGGGCAGAGCCACAACCUCAUCCUCCCAGUGGUUCCUCUUGAGUUUGAUUUGACAAGAUGCCUUCCCACCCAGGUAACCCCAUGGGAACGUGCCAGUACCUCACCCCACGACCUCACUGAGUCCUCACAAAAAAUCCAGGGUGCAGAUUUUUUUCCCCACUUGGAGAUGACAAAUUGAAAUGCAGGAAGGUUAAAGAGUUUGCCUGAGGUUGCUUAGAUAAUAAAAGAAUCUGGAUUAGAACCCAGACCUACCCAGCU
Molecule: RNA transcript, 550 nt
Organism: Pan troglodytes (chimpanzee)
Lineage: Eukaryota; Metazoa; Chordata; Mammalia; Primates; Hominidae
Exons: 2
Source: RefSeq, a predicted model, not a curated record